This 292-nucleotide ribosomal RNA is filed under the name uncultured bacterium. Its description in RNAcentral is "partial 16S ribosomal RNA". It matches the Rfam family "Bacterial small subunit ribosomal RNA", at positions 505 to 796 of the family's 1533-position model. The record is from RNAcentral.
GUGCCAGCAGCCGCGGUAAUACAGAGGUCCCAAGCGUUGUUCGGAUUCACUGGGCGUAAAGGGUGCGUAGGUGGUCGGGUAAGUCUGAUGUGAAAUCUCCGAGCCUAACUCGGAAACUGCAUCGGAUACUAUUCGGCUUGAGGGUUGGAGGGGGGACUGGAAUACUUGGUGUAGCAGUGAAAUGCGUAGAUAUCAAGUGGAACACCAGUGGCGAAGGCGAGUCCCUGGACAACUCCUGACACUGAGGCACGAAAGCUAGGGGAGCAAACAGGAUUAGAUACCCCGGUAGUCC